GGGGAAUUGUUCGCAAUGGGCGCAAGCCUGACGACGCAACGCCGCGUGGAGGAUGAAGACCUUCGGGUCGUAAACUCCUUUCGAUCGAGACGAAUGGCCUCCGGGUGAACAAUCCGGAGGAGUGACGGUACCGAGAGAAGAAGCCCCGGCUAACUCCGUGCCAGCAGCCGCGGUAAUACGGGGGGUGCAAGCGUUAUCCGGAUUCACUGGGUUUAAAGGGUGCGUAGGCGGGUUGGUAAGUCCGUGGUGAAAUCUCCGAGCUUAACUCGGAAACUGCCGUGGAUACUAUCAAUCUUGAAUAUCGUGGAGGUAAGCGGAAUAUGUCAUGUAGCGGUGAAAUGCUUAGAUAUGACAUAGAACACCAAUUGCGUAGGCAGCUUACUACACGAUCAUUGACGCUGAGGCACGAAAGCGUGGGGAGCAAA
RNAcentral lists this ribosomal RNA (425 nucleotides) under uncultured bacterium. RNAcentral describes it as "bacterial SSU rRNA". It matches the Rfam family "Bacterial small subunit ribosomal RNA", at positions 356 to 772 of the family's 1533-position model. The record is from RNAcentral.